This 210-nucleotide long non-coding RNA is filed under the name Mytilus galloprovincialis (Mediterranean mussel). The record is from RNAcentral. Lineage: Eukaryota; Metazoa; Mollusca; Bivalvia; Mytilida; Mytilidae.
GAAAUAAAUUAUGAUAAGCAAAAUAGACUAAAAGAAAUAUGAACUACUAUACGAUUCUGUAUUUGAAAUGAAAAAAGGUGUUGCUGUAUUUUUGUGUCACUCACUCACUCAUCCUCUUCGUGCCUGUCAGCACAUUAGGCCUCAAUCAGUACUCGACACAUUUGCCUGUCUUUUGCCUUUUUCUCGAUCUCCUUCCAGGCUUUCCCAAGG